Molecule: ribosomal RNA, 238 nt
Filed under: Staphylococcus sp. HMSC035D11
Lineage: Bacteria; Bacillati; Bacillota; Bacilli; Caryophanales; Staphylococcaceae
Description: partial 16S ribosomal RNA
Rfam family: Bacterial small subunit ribosomal RNA
Source: RNAcentral
CUUGAGUGCAGAAGAGGAAAGUGGAAUUCCAUGUGUAGCGGUGAAAUGCGCAGAGAUAUGGAGGAACACCAGUGGCGAAGGCGACUUUCUGGUCUGUAACUGACGCUGAUGUGCGAAAGCGUGGGGAUCAAACAGGAUUAGAUACCCUGGUAGUCCACGCCGUAAACGAUGAGUGCUAAGUGUUAGGGGGUUUCCGCCCCUUAGUGCUGCAGCUAACGCAUUAAGCACUCCGCCUGGG